Long non-coding RNA from Arachis stenosperma, 514 nucleotides. RefSeq lists it as uncharacterized. The record is from RefSeq and is a predicted model, not a curated record. The transcript has 3 exons. Lineage: Eukaryota; Viridiplantae; Streptophyta; Magnoliopsida; Fabales; Fabaceae.
UGAAGAUUAUAACAUCAGUAGCAUAUUUAAAGAAGCCUGUGAUUUUAUAGAUUAUAUUGAGCAGAUUGGUCAGAUAGUUUCAGUUCAUUAUUUUGAGGGGAGAAGUGGAAGUGUUACUCUGGUUCUUGCUUACUUAUGCUCAGAAACAUGAACGCUGAAACAAAUCAAGGAGAGAAGAGUUUGAGUUCCAAAAGCUAACCCUCCAAUCAAAUCAAGAUAACUUUUGAUCCGGAGUUUCGAUUGCCGCACCGUUUGCAGCCACACGACCGCAGAGUCGAGCUCUACAAAGUCCAGUAUGUUGUAAGGUCAAUCUAGCUUGGAGAAUUAGCGGGCUCUUGUUUGAUUAAGGCACACACAAGGUAAGGAUCCUCAAACCAUAGUAAAUUCCUUGGUUAAUUGUGAAUGAGCAUUAAGUUGGUUCAUGUGAAUGUGAUAAUAUGCGUUAGGUAGUGUAUAUGUGAGAUUGGAACUCAAUUGAAGAGAUUGGAUGCUUGUUUAAGCCUUGGGUGCUGAG